ACGUACACUCCUACGGGAGGCAGCAGUGGGGAAUAUUGCACAAUGGGCGCAAGCCUGAUGCAGCCAUGCCGCGUGUAUGAAGAAGGCCUUCGGGUUGUAAAGUACUUUCAGCGGGGAGGAAGGCGAUAAGGUUAAUAACCUUGUCGAUUGACGUUACCCGCAGAAGAAGCACCGGCUAACUCCGUGCCAGCAGCCGCGGUAAUACGGAGGGUGCAAGCGUUAAUCGGAAUUACUGGGCGUAAAGCGCACGCAGGCGGUCUGUCAAGUCGGAUGUGAAAUCCCCGGGCUCAACCUGGGAACUGCAUUCGAAACUGGCAGGCUAGAGUCUUGUAGAGGGGGGUAGAAUUCCAGGUGUAGCGGUGAAAUGCGUAGAGAUCUGGAGGAAUACCGGUGGCGAAGGCGGCCCCCUGGACAAAGACUGACGCUCAGGUGCGAAAGCGUGGGGAGCAAACAGGAUUAGAUACCCUAGUAGUCCCA
RNAcentral lists this ribosomal RNA (477 nucleotides) under uncultured organism. RNAcentral's name for it is "partial 16S ribosomal RNA". It matches the Rfam family "Bacterial small subunit ribosomal RNA", at positions 329 to 797 of the family's 1533-position model. The record is from RNAcentral.